UACGAAGGGGGCUAGCGUUGUUCGGAAUUACUGGGCGUAAAGCGCACGUAGGCGGAUAUUUAAGUCAGGGGUGAAAUCCCAGAGCUCAACUCUGGAACUGCCUUUGAUACUGGGUAUCUUGAGUAUGGAAGAGGUAAGUGGAAUUGCGAGUGUAGAGGUGAAAUUCGUAGAUAUUCGCAGGAACACCGGUGGCGAAGGCGGCCCACUGGAUCGGUACUGACGCUGAGGUGCGAAAGCGUGGGGAGCAAACAGG
Molecule: ribosomal RNA, 253 nt
Filed under: uncultured bacterium
Lineage: Bacteria
Description: partial 16S ribosomal RNA
Rfam family: Bacterial small subunit ribosomal RNA
Source: RNAcentral